Molecule: ribosomal RNA, 496 nt
Filed under: uncultured bacterium
Lineage: Bacteria
Description: partial 16S ribosomal RNA
Rfam family: Bacterial small subunit ribosomal RNA
Source: RNAcentral
ACGCACGCUGGCGGCGUGCCUAAUACAUGCAAGUUGAGCGCUGAAGGUUGGUACUUGUACCAACUGGAUGAGCAGCGAACGGGUGAGUAACGCGUGGGGAAUCUGCCUUUGAGCGGGGGACAACAUUUGGAAACGAAUGCUAAUACCGCAUAAAAACUUUAAACACAAGUUUUAAGUUUGAAAGAUGCAAUUGCAUCACUCAAAGAUGAUCCCGCGUUGUAUUAGCUAGUUGGUGAGGUAAAGGCUCACCAAGGCGAUGAUACAUAGCCGACCUGAGAGGGUGAUCGGCCACAUUGGGACUGAGACACGGCCCAAACUCCUACGGGGGGCAGCAGUAGGGAAUCUUCGGCAAUGGACGAAAGUCUGACCGAGCAACGCCGCGUGAGUGAAGAAGGUUUUCGGAUCGUAAAACUCUGUUGGUAGAGAAGAACGUUGGUGAGAGUGGAAAGCUCAUCAAGUGACGGUAACUACCCAGAAAGGGACGGCUAACUACGUG